RNAcentral lists this ribosomal RNA (490 nucleotides) under uncultured bacterium. RNAcentral's name for it is "partial 16S ribosomal RNA". It matches the Rfam family "Bacterial small subunit ribosomal RNA", at positions 30 to 507 of the family's 1533-position model. The record is from RNAcentral.
AUUGAACGCUGGCGGCAGGCCUAACACAUGCAAGUCGAACGGUAACAGGAAGAAGCUUGCUUCUUUGCUGACGAGUGGCGGACGGGUGAGUAAUGUCUGGGAAACUGCCUGAUGGAGGGGGAUAACUACUGGAAACGGUAGCUAAUACCGCAUAACGUCGCAAGACCAAAAAGGGGGACCUUCGGGCCUCUUGCCAUCGGAUGUGCCCAGAUGGGAUUAGCUAGUAGGUGGGGUAACGGCUCACCUAGGCGACGAUCCCUAGCUGGUCUGAGAGGAUGACCAGACAGACUGGAACUGAGACACGGUCCAGACUCCUACGGGAGGCAGCAGUGGGGAAUAUUGCACAAUGGGCGCAAGCCUGAUGCAGCCAUGCCGGGUGUAUGAAGAAGGCCUUCGGGUUGUAAAGUACUUUCAGCGGGGAGGAAGGGAGUAAAGUUAAUACCUUUGCUCAUUGACGUUACCCGCAGAAGAAGCACCGGCUAACUCCGUG